This 305-nucleotide unclassified non-coding RNA is filed under the name plant metagenome. RNAcentral's name for it is "partial contains 5.8S ribosomal RNA, internal transcribed spacer 2, and large subunit ribosomal RNA". The stretch from base 1 to 105 matches the Rfam family "5.8S ribosomal RNA", at positions 50 to 154 of the family's 154-position model. The record is from RNAcentral.
GAAAUGCGAUAAGUAAUGUGAAUUGCAGAAUUCAGUGAAUCAUCGAAUCUUUGAACGCACAUUGCGCCCGCCAGUAUUCUGGCGGGCAUGCCUGUUCGAGCGUCAUUUCAACCAUCAAGCCCCCGGCUUGUGUUGGGGACCUGCGGCUGCCCGCAGGCCCUGACAAACAGUGGCGGGCUCGCUGUCACACCGAGCGUAGUAGCAUACAUUCUCGCUCAGGGCGUGCUGCGGGUUCCGGCCGUUAAACGACCUUCAUAACCCAAGGUUGACCUCGGAUCAGGUAGGAAGACCCGCUGAACUUAAGC